AUGACUAAAUACCUCCAUGCUGCUGUCCGAGAUGAAGCGGAACAGGAAGUGGUCACUCUAGAGCAUAACCAUCACUCACAGCCUUCAUCAAAGCUGCCCUCGUUGCAGUGGUUUCAAGAGCUCUCCAAGGUGCUGAAAAAGCCACUUCCUUUUACCUGCGAGGCCCACUGACUCCAUGUCAGACCGUCACAGCACUGCAGAACUUUGAGCUGCCUCUUUUGCACUCAGUCUUCGUCUCCUCCAUCCUGAGCAGAGGACGAGGCUGAGCAGAGGGAGUCGCGGAAGACUCCGGGGUGUCUUUGUUUAGAUUAAUGACUUUUGAAAAUGCAGCAGUCUCACGGAUUCAUGGCCAGUGCCCCACGUUGAGCUCUUAAGGGGCUGCUGCAGGAAGAGGCAGACUGACAGUUGGGCUGUCAGCAUCAUUAUCUGGCUUGAGUCCUGCCAUUAUAGUGGCAAAGAGCUGAAGAGUGUCACCCUCCGGAGCAGAGAUUUAGCCUAAAGCUCUCAUCUGUGCAGACAGCAGGCGAAGAGGACCCUCCCAGGUGAGAGUGCCGAGGUGAACCCUGUUUCAUUACCUUUCUGCACUAGUACAUCGACCUGUUAGUAACCUUAGUGUGACAGGGAAAGAGACUCUGUUAAUGCCUCUCAGCUCUUUUGUCUCUGUCUGGCAGGUGAAUAUGGGAACGUAGCGACAGUCUGUUCACAAGUGUCCAAACACACUCUUAAAUCAUGAUUUCUAGCUGUAUAAAGGGAAACUUUUCAUGGCAACAGACAAACAGCUAUUAACUGAAGAGAAUGUCUCUGUUUCCCUUAUAACGUGCAUUAUAAAAACAUCGAAAAUGGGGAAUCAGCCUUUAGUCACGAUUUCCAUGCUGUCUCUUAAUUAAUUAUUUAUUUCAAAUAGCACAUAUCUUUCAAUAUUUGAUCACUUUACGUUGGCAAUUUAAUUUGUUUACUCCUUACUUCGUUUUGUAUUUUACUAUUACUUUACACAACCAUUCAAAAGUUUGGAGUCAGUAAGAUAAGAAAUUGAAGUUUUUUUUUUUUUUAAAUAAAUUUAAAAAGAAAUUAUAAAAUUAUUUUUAU
Molecule: long non-coding RNA, 1086 nt
Organism: Cyprinus carpio (common carp)
Lineage: Eukaryota; Metazoa; Chordata; Actinopteri; Cypriniformes; Cyprinidae
Source: Ensembl